GGGGCCACUGGAGAGCUUCUUGGUCCUAGAGUGCUGGACAGGGACCCAAUGCUCUGUGCUCCUAUGCCCCCCAGUGGGCCAAUAUCCAAAGACCUUGAGUGCAAGGAGCUACUGGCAACGAACAAUACUUAUGGACUGCCCGAAGAACAGUGGACCUUGGCGUGGGCCGGGUAACCCACCCACUAAUUCAUGGUCAUCCCUGACUGCCCCUAUCCCUUGCUCAUGAGAAAAUUGCUCUCCAAAUUGGCUUGCGUGGGCUGAAAUGGCUGGAUGAGGCCAUGUGUAUACAUAUCUAUAGACUGUGUAUGUGGAGCUUAAGACCUGUCUCAGUACACCAGUAACUGAUGCUGGGAGUUAAAUGGCUUAGUGCUUUUCUGCCUGAAACACACCGUUCCUGCCAGCCGGGCACUAACAAUUAUCACCCAAUCCAGGACUUAAACUGUGAUAGAGUGGCUGAUAGAGUGUCCAAAGAUGGGACCACUGGUCAGCUGCCAUGGACUAAAUUCUCCACUGGUUGGGGGCAAUCUGGUCACCUUGCUGCCCAAU
Molecule: long non-coding RNA, 546 nt
Filed under: Rattus norvegicus (Norway rat)
Lineage: Eukaryota; Metazoa; Chordata; Mammalia; Rodentia; Muridae
Description: long non-coding RNA NONRATT016857
Source: RNAcentral